CCUACGGGAGGUAGCAGUGGGGAAUUUUCCGCAAUGGGCGCAAGCCUGACGGAGCAACGCCGCGUGAGGGAUGAAGGCCUCUGGGCUGUAAACCUCUUUUAUCAAGGAAGAAGAUCUGACGGUACUUGAUGAAUAAGCCACGGCUAAUUCCGUGCCAGCAGCCGCGGUAAUACGGGAGUGGCAAGCGUUAUCCGGAAUUAUUGGGCGUAAAGCGUCCGCAGGCGGUCUUGUAAGUCUGUCGUUAAAGCGUGGAGCUUAACUCCAUUUGAGCGAUGGAAACUGUAAGACUAGAGUGUGGUAGGGGCAGAGGGAAUUCCCGGUGUAGCGGUGAAAUGCGUAGAUAUCGGGAAGAACACCAGUGGCGAAGGCGCUCUGCUGGGCCAUAACUGACGCUCAUGGACGAAAGCCAGGGGAGCGAAAGGGAUUAGAUACCCCUGUAGUCCUGGCCGUAAACGAUGAACACUAGGUGUCGGGGGAAUCGACCCCCUCGGUGUCGUAGCCAACGCGUUAAGUGUUCCGCCUGGGGAGUACGCACGCAAGUGUGAAACUCAAAGGAAUUGACGG
This 564-nucleotide ribosomal RNA is filed under the name uncultured bacterium. Its description in RNAcentral is "bacterial SSU rRNA". It matches the Rfam family "Bacterial small subunit ribosomal RNA", at positions 338 to 916 of the family's 1533-position model. The record is from RNAcentral.